GUCCCGGAUGCUAGUCGGCUGGCAGAAUAAAAGGCUGUUGGGAACUGUGGGGCGUUCCUGGCGUUAGUCUUAGUGACCGAUGGCUUUGAUAGUCUUAUUUGUUUUUGAAACAGGGUCUCGCAGUUAAAGCUGGCCUUUGAACUCGCGGCCAUCCUCUUGCCAGCCUCAGACGCUCCAGCGCUGGGAUUACUGGCGUGCCCCACCGAGCGCGGCGGCAUAAGCAGUUUUGAAGGAACCUAUCUGCAUCUAACGGGCUGCUGGUCUGACAGCCGCACAGAGGUUGCACUCAUUAGGAACUAGGUAAUUCAGAAUAUUGUAGGUGCCGCCCCUGUGGAGAACGGAUGCAAUAACACCACACCUUCUAGUCCAGACCUUUUCCUCUACUGGUCAACGCAUUCCACCUGUUAAAGGUCAUUUGCGAAAGAUCUCAUAUGCCACAAAAUGACGUUUCAAUCAAUGAAGAGCCACUUACAUCACCUAGUGACACUGUAGCCCUCUCUGUUUUUGACAUCUGGAAGCUAACCCACAUUUCUGGAGACCCCGAGAGAUAUUACGUCUUCUGGAACUGUAUCAGUGCCUUUAGACUGCCAUUUGAGACAUAUCAGCUGUGAUUCUACCCUUUGUGAAUUGAAGUGGCAUUGGCCACCUGGGGCUCUGUUUCAGUGAACACCCCUUUUUUCAUUGUGGACAAUUCCAGCCCUGUUUGUGUGUUCCCUUGGAGGGGCUGAUCUCCCAGAUCAUUUGGACAAAUUUUUCCAUGGAUGUAGUAUUUGGUUUAUUACUAACACUCAGUGCUUCACUGAUUGUCUUUUACUUAUUUUUGCCUAUAUUGCUAUUUUUGUUUGUUCUGCUUUUGUGUACAUUGCAGUAAACUACUUAAUUCUGGAACUAUCUUUGUUUCACUUGACUUGUCAUUUGAUGAGAAAAUAAAGAACCUUAAUCUUGUGGAGGAAUUAUAAUCUUCAAGGUAAAAAGUGGUCCAGCACAACACACCUCAGUCUGAUCGAUUGAUUGGAAUUUGAAUGACUUAUUAAAAUACAUUCAAAAGUAUGUCAGGUAGUUUUUGGUGUUUAAAUUUUUUUGAGUACAUGUUUGCAGUACAUAGUGAUUACAUUCAUUGUGGGGAGUUGAUACAUGUACAAGACACAUAUUAAUUCUUUUUACUUUCCCUUCCCCUACCUCUCCCUUUCUCGUUCACCUUAUUUAAAAUUUUAAAUUUCUACAGAGGCAUGACAAUUCUUAAAAAUAAUUUAUUCUAUUGCACAACGUUCACAUUAGGAAGGCAGGUGAAUUAUCAGAAGCCCAAAUACACACUAUCGGGGGGUUUACAGAGUACUGACAAUGUGAAGACUAGCAAUCCCUUGCAUCAGCAUUAAAUUGCUCGUGGUCAUAUGGGGACCAUCCUCUUCCUCACCUUUUCUUCUCUAGCUCAGUCUAGAACUCAGCACACCAAAAGCAACCGAGGAAGAGAAGAUGCACCUGCUGUGAUCAGCUUUAGCUGCAAGGCAGAAGAGCCUCUGGUGCCAAUUUCAAGAGAAAAUUAAAAUCAGUUUGAAUACCA
RNAcentral lists this long non-coding RNA (1561 nucleotides) under Fukomys damarensis (Damara mole-rat). RNAcentral's name for it is "lncRNA (ENSFDAG00000025628.1)". The record is from RNAcentral. Lineage: Eukaryota; Metazoa; Chordata; Mammalia; Rodentia; Bathyergidae.